RNAcentral lists this ribosomal RNA (262 nucleotides) under unidentified marine bacterioplankton. RNAcentral describes it as "partial 16S ribosomal RNA". It matches the Rfam family "Bacterial small subunit ribosomal RNA", at positions 65 to 339 of the family's 1533-position model. The record is from RNAcentral.
AGCGAGGUAGCAAUACCUAGCGGCAGACGGGUGAGUAACAUGUGGGGAUCUGCCUGUUAGAGGGGGAUAAGCCGAGGAAACUUGGACUAAUACCGCAUACGCUCUGAGGAGGAAAGUAUGGGACAAUAAAAUGCCAUACGCUAACAGAUGAACCUGCGUUAGAUUAGCUAGUUGGUAGGGUAAAGGCCUACCAAGGCGACGAUCUAUAGCUGGUCUGAGAGGAUGACCAGCCACACUGGAACUGAGAUACGGACCAGACUCC